Momordica charantia (bitter melon) is the source of this 1022-nucleotide non-coding RNA. The record is from RefSeq and is a predicted model, not a curated record. NCBI's taxonomy places the organism in Eukaryota, Viridiplantae, Streptophyta, Magnoliopsida, Cucurbitales, Cucurbitaceae.
UCUUUAAUUCUUUGUCAUUUUCUCCUUCGAUUUUUAGUCCAAUAAGGAGUUAGGGUUUAAUUUUGGAUUGCUUUUUUACUUGUUUUGGAUUUGAUUGAUUGAUUGAUUGAUUUUGGAGGUGAAGUCACUGGAGGCAGCGGUUCAUCGAUCCUUUCCUGAGAUUUUUGUUCAAAACAAACCACAAUACACGAAUUGAUCGAUAAACCUCUGCAUCCAGCGCUUUCUCUCUUUCUGUUUGGUUGAUGGGAAAUGGGUUAUUUCAAUGCAUUGAUUAAAUUCGAUCUAUUCAUCUUCUUGGCGGUGGAUGCAAGAUUACGAAUCCCAGAUCUCUUCCAAGUAGUAUUUGGUGCUUCCUUGUCUAGUUUCUUGUCUUUUUGUUGCAUAUUGUUAUUUAUUUGGAAGAUAAAGUAAGUUUUAUUCCCCCUGGAGGAAAAAACAGAUGGUUUCUGGUUUGAAAUAUUGAUUUUCUCAAGAGUUUCUUGUUAACUUUUCAAAAUUUCUUUAAGAUUUGCUAAUGGGCAGAUGUUUGUUUUUAUCAGGCAAGUUCAACAGAAUCUGGUUGGAGAAGCAAUUUCUUCCUGUCUUAUUGUAAUUUAUAUCAUUAUCACCAGUUCUGGUUGUUAUGUUCUUGAUGCUGUUGUCCCUUGUUACGGCCCUCUUAAGUAUAUGAUGGCACAAGUCGUAAACAGGAGCGCUUUGGAGUUAGUCCAUGAUCUGGGCAAAGGCGUAUAAUCAUUCUCGGGAAGAAAUUUACCAACUUUGACCAGUGUUUUUCAGGCUUUCUAGUUAAAUUAUUGUUUCUGAUAAUAACUCUGUAUUUACAUGGUUGUGCUGAGUAUUUUUCAAUUCCAUGGAUAUCUUUUCGAGCUGAUUGAAGCCUUGACAUGGUUUGGAUUUUGAAUCAUAGGUUCCAUAUACUGUAAAACAAAUGCCAACCAACCAUCCUCCUUUUUUCUCAAGCAGGUGAUGUAGCAUUUGGUUAUUGAAAAUAAUUUUACAGUAUAAAGGGAAGGUUCAACAAA